RNAcentral lists this ribosomal RNA (433 nucleotides) under uncultured bacterium. RNAcentral's name for it is "partial 16S ribosomal RNA". It matches the Rfam family "Bacterial small subunit ribosomal RNA", at positions 29 to 507 of the family's 1533-position model. The record is from RNAcentral.
AACGAACGCUGGCGGCAGGCUUAACACAUGCAAGUCGAGCGCAUCCUUCGGGGUGAGCGGCGGACGGGUGAGUAACGCGUGGGAACGUGCCCUCUUCUACGGAAUAGCCUCGGGAAACUGAGAGUAAUGCCGUAUACGCCCGCAAGGGGAAAGAUUUAUCGGAGGAGGAUCGGCCCGCGUUGGAUUAGGUAGUUGGUGGGGUAACGGCCUACCAAGCCGACGAUCCAUAGCUGGUUUGAGAGGAUGAUCAGCCACACUGGGACUGAGACACGGCCCAGACUCCUACGGGAAGCAGCAGUGGGGAAUCUUGGACAAUGGGGGCAACCCUGAUCCAGCCAUGCCGCGUGAUCGAUGAAGGCCUUAGGGUUGUAAAGAUCUUUCAGCUGGGAAGAUAAUGACGGUACCAGCAGAAGAAGCCCCGGCUAACUCCGUG